UAAACACUCCCUCCGUUCCAAAUUACUCAUCGCAGAAAUAGAUGUAUCUAGAACUAAAAUACAUCUUGAUACAUCCAUACCCGCGACAAGUAAUUCGGAACGGAGGGAGUAGGUC
Non-coding RNA from Triticum aestivum (bread wheat), 115 nucleotides. NCBI's taxonomy places the organism in Eukaryota, Viridiplantae, Streptophyta, Magnoliopsida, Poales, Poaceae. The record is from Rfam.